RNAcentral lists this transfer RNA (77 nucleotides) under Chitinivibrionales bacterium. RNAcentral's name for it is "tRNA-Pro". It matches the Rfam family "tRNA". Rfam says of the family: Transfer RNA (tRNA) molecules are approximately 80 nucleotides in length. Their secondary structure includes four short double-helical elements and three loops (D, anti-codon, and T loops). Lineage: Bacteria; Pseudomonadati; Fibrobacterota; Chitinivibrionia; Chitinivibrionales. The record is from RNAcentral.
CGGGGUGUAGCGCAGCCUGGUAGCGCACUUGGUUUGGGACCAAGGUGUCGCUGGUUCGAAUCCAGUCACCCCGACCA